Molecule: ribosomal RNA, 253 nt
Filed under: uncultured bacterium
Lineage: Bacteria
Description: partial 16S ribosomal RNA
Rfam family: Bacterial small subunit ribosomal RNA
Source: RNAcentral
UACGUAGGGGGCGAGCGUUGUCCGGAGUUACUGGGCGUAAAGGGCAUGCAGGCGGUCCGACACGUUUUGUGUGACAGUGGGUGGCUUAACUACCCGAGGAUACGAAAGACGGUUGGACUUGAGGACUCGAGAGGGACACGGAAUUCCGGGUGGAGUGGUGAAAUGCGUAGAGAUCCGGAGGAACACCGAAGGCGAAGGCAGUGUCCUGGCGAGUGACUGACGCUGAGGUGCGAAAGCCAGGGGAGCGAACGGG